Molecule: ribosomal RNA, 541 nt
Filed under: Mesocriconema xenoplax
Lineage: Eukaryota; Metazoa; Nematoda; Chromadorea; Rhabditida; Criconematidae
Description: partial large subunit ribosomal RNA
Rfam family: Eukaryotic large subunit ribosomal RNA
Source: RNAcentral
CGGAUAGAGCCAGCGAAGUCGCUCGUAUUCAGCCAAAAGUCUGGGGUUGCCUGUCGUCGUGUUUCUAAUCGAGCACGGCGGUUUGUCUUCUCCGGAUUGAGGUGCAUUUGCGGGCGUUUGCGCUGAGACUUGCGAGGCAGCUGCGGGACCGGCGUCUAGAGGCUUCCCAUUGGGUUGAACCUGGGCGCCGUUACAGCUGUUUGCCUUGCUCGUACUGGUCUGGCCUACGGACCCUGCUCGUGCUGUUGUCUGCUGGCCAAGGCAUCGCAUGCGAUGUCUAGCCUGGGGGCUGCAGCGCGGGUUGGUGUCCCCGGAUCGCCUCUCGGUGUAGAAGCUGGUCAUCUCUCCGACCCGUCUUGAAACACGGACCAAGGAGUUUAGCGUAUGCGCGAGUCAUUGGGUGUUAAAACUCACAGGCGCAAUGAAAGUGAAGGCUCGGUCGCCGGGCUGACAUGCGAGUGCCGCGGCUUCGGCCUAGGCAUGCAGCAUGGUCCCAUUGCAAUCGUUUACGAUGCAGUGGAGACAGAGCGUAUGCGCUGAG